This is a long non-coding RNA of Gorilla gorilla gorilla (western lowland gorilla), 541 nucleotides long. RefSeq lists it as uncharacterized. The transcript is spliced from 2 exons. Lineage: Eukaryota; Metazoa; Chordata; Mammalia; Primates; Hominidae. The record is from RefSeq and is a predicted model, not a curated record.
UGUCAUGCGACAGGUCACAGCGGCCACUGUUGCCCCAACUACGGGCUGUUUACAUUUCGGGGCAAUUCAGUGAGCUAAAUACUGUUAAGGUUCAAGUCCUUGUCCCUCUGAGAAUCCCAAACCUCUCCGGAACCUCCAACAAUUAAGAUUCCUACCACAGUCUGCUGCUAAGUAAUUCCAAGGUUUGCUGAGAUCUUCCUGAGAUCAAUUGUGCAGCCUUUCCAAAGAGGUGAAUAUUAAGUCUCCAGUCCAUACAGCAACUGCAAGAUUAGAACAGCCCACCAGUGUACGUCAAAGAUUUAUUAACCUUAAGCUUCUACAAAAGAAAACCUGAUUUUUUCUCACAGCAGUACAUGCUGCCCAUGCAUAAACAAUCAAAGUUAAACUGAGAAAAGAUGGAUACACAUGGAGCUGCUACCGAUUGGGAAAGGAUUUGGUUAUUUUAUUAUUUCAUAAUGCUGAGCUGUGAUGGACCUGAGGACAUCUGAGAAAAAAAAAAAAUUGCCCAAAUGAAAAAAUAAAUAGCCUUAGAAAAAAUGCA